UGUUGCAAAGAGGGCACUCCAGAGUCUUGGUAAGGAGUCCGGCUCAGCUUUUCCGAGUUCAAGACAGGCAACUACACUGCAGCAAACCUCGCAAGUGAGCACCCGAAUUAUGCCAGAGUUCAAAGUCGGGAAAACUGUAAAACUGUCACACCAAACAGCCUCCUGCUUGGUCGAGCAUCUAAAAAUGGAGACCCCAAAACAUUUGACUUUUCCAGCUACCCCUACAAAAGGCUAAGGGCAAUGGAGGCGGAGGUAACCAAGUUCUGGAAAUUUUGGAGUCAAAUCGCAGGUCCCCAUCUCGUUGUCCGAAGCAAGUGGCAUACCACUGAAAGAAAUAACAUUGUGGGAGUCAUCGUCUGGUUAUGCGACCAGAACGCACUAAGAGGUCACUUCAAGCUUGACGGAAUUGACAGCACCAAUCCAGACAACAAAGUCAUUGUGAGGGAUGUCCACAUCUGGAUUUUCCCAAGCUACUGUGUCCCCCUGACAAAAGCCCAAAAGGCAAAGACCAGCCAUCCCAAUUCAAACAGAAGAAAGGAAAAGCUCCAAGCCACCAUUCUGCACAUAGACGUAAGACGAUUGGUUGUCCUUUUAAGUAUGCAGCUCCAGCUCAGACUUCAGGCCAACAAACACUAGGAUAAUUUGCCAAAACAGUAGUGCCCAACUGUUUACAGCGACCAGGGUGGCCGACGGGUAGCGGGGGGGAUGCUGGAGCCUAUCUCAGCUGCAUUUGGGCGGAAGGCGGCGUACACCCUGGACAAGUCGCCACCUCAUCACAGGGCCAACACAGAUAAGACAUUCACACUCACAUUCACACACUCGGGGGUAUUUUAGUGUUGCUAAUCAACCUAUUCCCAGGUGCAUGUUUUUGGAGGUGGUAAGAAGCCGGAGUACCCAGAAAGAACCCACGCAGUCACGGGGAGAACAUGCAAACUCCACACAAAAAGAUCCCGAGCCCGAAAUUGAACCCAAGACUACUCAGGACCUUUGUAUUGUGAGGCACAUGCACUAACCCCUGUGACACCGUGCUUCCCUUAAAAAUGGUUUAUUGAAAUUGAAUUUGUUUGUAUUGGUCCCUAAUUGCUUUUGUAUUUUUUCACCUUCUCCAAAGGUUUUUCACCUUUCAACUAUUUAAUGAAAAAAAGAGACAAACAAGUCCAAAAUAAAAGGAGAAACAGAGAUUUUUCUCAUCAUUUGAUUAAAACAAAGAAUGAGGUCCCACUGCAACCCCUGGUCAACAAUUCAAAACCCUUUUUUAAGUUAGGGGAGAGCACAAACAAACAAAACAUAACUUCACACUGGCUUCAAUGACUAAUGUACUAAAGUUACUAAGUCAUACUGUACCAGCUUAGUGGAUGUUGAAGGUGUGCAGGAAGUGUCACUUAGAUCUGAGUGACUCAUGCUGUUGCUUUCAGUCUGUGAUGAAGCCGGUGAAGAGAUCUUGGCAACAGAAUCGCAGUUCUGGCUUUCUUCAGGCUCCUGUGUACCUAUUGUUAACAGUGUUACAGUGUUAGUACAGCACAUGACUUUAAACCUCCAUGCUCUGCUCACAUGUAUGUGUUCACAAAUUGCAUUGUGAUUAUUUACUGACAAUAAACUAAGAGAAAUGCAUUUGAGAGAAUAAAAGAUCAUGAUAAAA
Molecule: long non-coding RNA, 1639 nt
Organism: Nerophis ophidion (straightnose pipefish)
Lineage: Eukaryota; Metazoa; Chordata; Actinopteri; Syngnathiformes; Syngnathidae
Exons: 2
Source: RefSeq, a predicted model, not a curated record